Molecule: ribosomal RNA, 503 nt
Filed under: uncultured bacterium
Lineage: Bacteria
Description: bacterial SSU rRNA
Rfam family: Bacterial small subunit ribosomal RNA
Source: RNAcentral
GACGAACGCUGGCGGCGUGCCUAACACAUGCAAGUCGAGCGGGGUUGAAGCGAGGGGUAACUCAAGCUUCUACCUAGCGGCGGACGGGUGAGUAACGCGUGGGCAACCUGCCUCAAGGUCUGGGAUAACAGCUCGAAAGGGCUGCUAAUACCGGAUAUGCCUAUGGCCUCGCAUGGGGCUAUGAGCAAAGGGGAAACCUGCCUUGAGAUGGGCCCGCGUCCCAUCAGCUAGUUGGUGAGGUAACAGCUCACCAAGGCGACGACGGGUAGCCGGCCUGAGAGGGUGACCGGCCACACUGGGACUGAGACACGGCCCAGACUCCUACGGGGGGCAGCAGUGGGGAAUCUUGCGCAAUGGGCGAAAAGCCUGACGCAGCGACGCCGCGUGAGCGAAGAAGGCCUUCGGUCGUAAAGCGUCAGUCAUUGGGGAGUGAGAUGACAGUACCCAACGGAGGAAGCCCCGGCUAACUACGUGCCAGCAGCCGCGGUAAAACGUACAACCGG